Molecule: ribosomal RNA, 712 nt
Filed under: uncultured Vagococcus sp.
Lineage: Bacteria; Bacillati; Bacillota; Bacilli; Lactobacillales; Enterococcaceae
Description: bacterial SSU rRNA
Rfam family: Bacterial small subunit ribosomal RNA
Source: RNAcentral
CCUGGUAGUCACGCGUAAACGAUGAGUGCUAAGUGUUAGGGGGUUUCCCCCCUUAGUGCUGCAGCUAACGCAUUAAGCACUCCGCUGGGGAGUACGACCGCAAGGUUGAAACUCAAAGGAAUUGACGGGGGCCCGCACAAGCGGUGGAGCAUGUGGUUUAAUUCGAAGCAACGCGAAGAACCUUACCAGGUCUUGACAUCCUUUGACAACUCUAGAGAUAGAGCUUUCCCUUCGGGGACAAAGUGACAGGUGGUGCAUGGUUGUCGUCAGCUCGUGUCGUGAGAUGUUGGGUUAAGUCCCGCAACGAGCGCAACCCUUAUUGUUAGUUGCCAUCAUUCAGUUGGGCACUCUAGCGAAACUGCCGGUGACAAACCGGAGGAAGGUGGGGAUGACGUCAAAUCAUCAUGCCCCUUAUGACCUGGGCUACACACGUGCUACAAUGGACAGUACAAUGAGCAGCGACACGGCGACGUGAAGCGAAUCUCAUAAAGCUGUUCUCAGUUCGGAUUGUAGGCUGCAACUCGCCUACAUGAAGCCGGAAUCGCUAGUAAUCGCGGAUCAGCACGCCGCGGUGAAUACGUUCCCGGGCCUUGUACACACCGCCCGUCACACCACGAAAGUUUGUAACACCCAAAGUCGGUGAGGUAACCUUCGGGAGCCAGCCGCCUAAGGUGGGAUAGAUGAUUGGGGUGAAGUCGUAACAAGGUAACCA